This 494-nucleotide ribosomal RNA is filed under the name uncultured bacterium. RNAcentral describes it as "partial 16S ribosomal RNA". It matches the Rfam family "Bacterial small subunit ribosomal RNA", at positions 28 to 507 of the family's 1533-position model. The record is from RNAcentral.
GACGAACGCUGGCGGCGCGCUUAACACAUGCAAGUCGAACGGAAAGGCCUGCUUUCCCUUGUGGAUUGCGGGUACUCGAGUGGCGAACGGGUGAGUAACACGUGAGUGAUCUGCCCCCAACUUGGGUACAAGCCUGGGAAACUGGGUCUAAUUCCCGAUAGGACUGCAGGGUGGUGCCUGUGGUGGAAAACGAUUUUCUAGUGGUUGGGGAUGAGCUCGCGGCCUAUCAGCUUGUUGGUGGGGUAAUGGCCUACCAAGGCGGCGACGGGUAGCCGGCCUGAGAGGGUGGACGGCCACAUUGGGACUGAGAUACGGCCCAGACUCCUACGGGAGGCAGCAGUGGGGAAUAUUGCACCAUGGGCGGAAGCCUGAUGCAGCGACGCCGCGUGGGGGAUGACGGCCUUCGGGUUGUAAACUCCUUUCGACCGCGAGGAAGCCACCUGGUUGGAAGGGUGGUGACGGUAGUGGUAGAAGAAGCACCGGCUAACUACGUG